GAGUUUGAUUAUGGCUCAGGAUGAACGCUAGCUACAGGCUUAACAACAUGCAAGUCGAGGGGCAGCAGGAUCUUAGCUUGCUAAGAUUGCUGGCGACCGGCGCACGGGUGAGUAACGCGUAUCCAACCUUCCCCCUUAGUAGGGCAUAGCCCGAUGAAAAUCGGAUUAAUACCCUAUGUUUUUCCAAUGAGGACAUCUGAGCUGGAAACAAAGAUUCAUCGCUAAGGGAUGGGGAUGCGUCCGAUUAGGUAGUCGGCGGGGUAACGGCCCACCGAGCCAUCGAUCGGUAGGGGUUCUGAGAGGAAGGUCCCCCACAUUGGAACUGAGACACGGUCCAAAACUCCUACGGGAGGCAGCAGUGAGGAAUAUUGGUCAAUGGGCGAGAGCCUGAACCAGCCAAGUAAGCGUGCAGGAUGACGGCCCUAUGGGUUGUAAACUGCUUUUAUGCGGGGAUAAAGUUCGCCACGUGUGGCGUUUUGUAGGUACCGCAUGAAUAAGGACCGGUUAAUUCCGUGCCAGCCGCCGC
RNAcentral lists this ribosomal RNA (526 nucleotides) under uncultured bacterium. RNAcentral describes it as "bacterial SSU rRNA". It matches the Rfam family "Bacterial small subunit ribosomal RNA", at positions 9 to 518 of the family's 1533-position model. The record is from RNAcentral.